Serinus canaria (Common canary) is the source of this 1758-nucleotide long non-coding RNA. Lineage: Eukaryota; Metazoa; Chordata; Aves; Passeriformes; Fringillidae. The record is from Ensembl.
GGAAAAAAUCAGCUUAUGGGGAUUUGCAUGGUGUUUCUAUGACUGGAGCACAAUUUUUUUAGUUUGUUUUUUAAUUAAUUUUCUUUUAAGUUGGAAUAGAGAGGUGUUUUGAAGCCUGUUUUUAUACAUGGCAGGAACAUCAAAAACACAAAGCACAGGGGCUGGUACUCAGUCCUUUGCAAGCAAGACUGAUAAAGCAGAGCACCUUAGUGACUGAAGGUCUGAGAUUCAUUUUAAGCAAUGCCUGCCUAUUUGUUGUUACUUUUCAGAAAAAGCCCUGACCUUGCAGGCUUACAGGUGGAUUUUUCUUAACACUGGGUACAAUGCCAGCUCCAGCCAGAAACACAGCACCCUCCGUAAGCAAACAGCCUGAAAUAAAGGGCCAGAGGAGGGUUGUGAAGAGUCAGAGAGCUUGAGCCCAAAGCAUGGUGAAAACUUCUACAUGAGAGGAAAAUAAAAGAGCUAAAUCUGAUGGUCCAUGAAAAGCUGGUGAUAGCACAUGGAUGUGCAGCCAAAGGAGGAGGUAAGUUCAUUUGUGCAUUUGCAAGCACACAACACCAGUCCACAAUUGUUGCAUGUGGCACAGUUGUGACUUUUUUCAUCAGAAGGGACACUGUAAAAUGCUGUGAGGUGAGGUCUGUGCCUGUCCCUCUGCCUGUGGUGUGAGCUGACUGCUAGUCAAGGAGAGCCCAUGCCAGCUGAUGGGAAAGGUGCAUGUCAAAGGGCUGAUGCACCACUUGAUAUCCAUUUAUUCCAGAGCACUUCUGCCAAGGCUUCCAUGAGGAAUGUGUGGGUGGGAGCUCUUGCCCCAUCUCUCACACAUGUGUGUUACCCAAACCACAGCAAAGGAGAAACAUGGAAGCAACGCUGUGCUGAAGACACCAAAAGAAGCUGACUGCAGAGCAGGGACCUCUGUUGCCCCCCCAGAUCCCCAGCCUGGCAACCUGAGAGUUGGCUGUAGCUAUUUCAUUUCCAGGAAAGAGGCUGAUGCUGUUGACCGUGGAAGCUCUCUGGGAGGAAGGACGAAGGCAUUCUGCAUUUGAAGAGCUUCCAGAAAAGCCUGACAAUUACAAAUUUCAGAGGAGGAGGUUUGAUCUGGAGAGUGAAAACAGCUUGCUGCUUGGAGGACUGUCCACAAAAGAACAAAGCUCUGAGAACACUUCCCUGCGCUGUGCCCCGCUAGAGAUAACGUAGAGCCAAGAUGCUGGCCUCAGGAAACACAACUAUGUGAGACAGUCUCUUGUUAAAUGUUCUGUUUCUUUGUUUUCCUAGGAUUCAUGUGCUCCAGUGCCUGGUACUCUGGGUGUUGGUGCUCCUUUGGAUCUGAUGGGCUGGGAGGCUAGUGCUUCGGUAUUCUCAGCUCCUGCUUGUAAGAAAGAGGAAUCAUGUUAGCUCAUCUUACAGGGAUGCUGGUGCACUUUCCUGACAGUCUUUAAUAGCUGGUGCUGUGGAAGAAGACUGGAGUCUUCUUUAAUCAGGCAUGCAUCUCUCCAGAUUUGUGUCUGGCGUGUCACUGGCAACAUGUGAGGAAGAAAUACUCAUGAAAGGGCUAAUGUUCCUGCACAACAACAUUAAUGGGAAAUCAGUUCUGGAUACACAGAAGUGGAAACUCCUUGUGGCAGCUGAAUGGAGAGUUAUGGAUGCCUAGAAAAGUGAGGUGACAUUGUAUGAUCUGUGCAUCCUGGAAAUCAAUCAGCACUACAGUUAUAAAACAUCUCCACUUGUCUGCUUUGGCAGACUGGUCAUAAUGAAGAAUUU